This 501-nucleotide long non-coding RNA is filed under the name Chrysemys picta bellii (western painted turtle). Its description in RNAcentral is "lncRNA (ENSCPBG00000004267.1)". Lineage: Eukaryota; Metazoa; Chordata; Testudines; Emydidae. The record is from RNAcentral.
AGAGUUAUUUAAGCAAUAGCACAGAAAUGAUCUAGCAAGUCCUUGAUCCUCAUUGCUUUUAUGGAUGAUCAUUUCACAGUGUGCAUCAAUGCAUGGGAUAAGCCUUAUAUAAGUAAAUGUUUCAUAUGCAUGUCCAACAGGAUUUCAAAUAUUGAGAUUGGCAUAAGUAAUUAUGAGAAGAUGACAGCAGUAAGGAAGAUGUUCAAAUGCCACCCUGAGGAAGUGCUAUCCAUCAACACAGAGAGCAGGGAUUACUACCUCAUUGCGAAGGACAGGGAACAAGUUGAGGACUGGUUCACUUCCCUAUCUUUAGCCCACAUGGAGGCAAAAGACGAUGGAUGCUCUGCUCAGGUGGAAGAUCCUGCAGACGACAAGAAAAGGCCUCACUCAGAUCCUGGCUCUCGUGGUCUCCCUAAACAGCGGCCUCGCCACAGUUUACCAGCACCUCUUCUUCCAAGUCUGGUGAGCAUAGCUAGCGGGGCCUGGAACGCCUCUUAUAUA